Molecule: ribosomal RNA, 321 nt
Filed under: Isochrysis galbana
Lineage: Eukaryota; Haptophyta; Isochrysidales; Isochrysidaceae
Description: partial Bacterial large subunit ribosomal RNA
Rfam family: Bacterial large subunit ribosomal RNA
Source: RNAcentral
AGGUCCCAAGGGUUUGGCUGUUCGCCAAUUAAAGCGGCACGCGAGCUGGGUUCAGAACGUCGCGAGACAGUUCGGUCUCUAUCUAUCGUGGGCGCGGGAAAAUUGAGUGGAGCUAACCUUAGUACGAGAGGACCGGGUUGGACGAACCUAUGGUGUACCAGUUGUCACGCCAGUGGCAUAGCUGGGUAGCUAAGUUCGGAAAGGAUAACCACUGAAAGCAUCUAAGUGGGAAGCCCCCUUCAAGAUAAGAUAUCUAUUAAGAGUGGUUGAAGACUACGACCUUGAUAGGCUGGAUGUGUAAGCACGGUAACGUGUUAAGCU